CGAGUCCUGCUGUGUGCGUGUUGUCCGUAAGGACUUGCGGCCCAUAAAACCCACAUCUCUCAUAAGGGAUGCCGAUUUGAAUCUGCGGAUUGCAGGCCUCCCGGCUCCGGCCGGACGUUGGAAGCAGUGAAACAGAACUUAGGCGACCCACCUGCUCUUUUGUGCAGGUUGUUACUGGGCCGGCACGGCAUAAGCGGGAUCUUC
This 204-nucleotide non-coding RNA is filed under the name Eubacteriales bacterium. Its description in RNAcentral is "6S RNA". It matches the Rfam family "6S / SsrS RNA". From Rfam's summary of the family: E. coli 6S RNA was the first non coding RNA to be sequenced, but its function was unknown until recently. It consists of 184 nucleotides that fold into an extended hairpin structure with a large single-stranded internal bulge. The 6S RNA specifically associates with RNA polymerase holoenzyme containing the sigma70 specificity factor. The record is from RNAcentral. Lineage: Bacteria; Bacillati; Bacillota; Clostridia; Eubacteriales.